RNAcentral lists this ribosomal RNA (431 nucleotides) under uncultured bacterium. RNAcentral's name for it is "partial 16S ribosomal RNA". It matches the Rfam family "Bacterial small subunit ribosomal RNA", at positions 29 to 507 of the family's 1533-position model. The record is from RNAcentral.
AACGAACGCUGGCGGCAUGCCUAACACAUGCCAGUCGAACGAGACCUUCGGGUCUAGUGGCGCACGGGUGCGUAACGCGUGGGAACCUGCCCUUAGGUUCGGAAUAACUCCCCGAAAGGGGUGCUAAUACCGGAUAAUGUCUUCGGACCAAAGAUUUAUCGCCUUUGGAUGGGCCCGCGUUGGAUUAGCUAGUUGGUAGGGUAAAAGCCUACUAAGGCGACGAUCCAUAGCUGGUCUGAGAGGAUGAUCAGCCACACUGGGACUGAGACACGGCCAGACUCUUAGGGGAGGCGGAGGGGGGGAUAAUUGGACAUGGGGCGAAGGCCUGUCCCGCAAUGGCCGGGGGGGUGUUGAGGGCUUUGGGGUUGUAAGCUCUUUUACCCGGGAUGAUAAUGACAGUACCGGGAGAAUAAGCUCCGGCUAACUCCGUG